CCUACGGGCGGCUGCAGUGGGGAAUAUUGCACAAUGGGCGCAAGCCUGAUGCAGCCAUGCCGCGUGUGUGAAGAAGGCCUUCGGGUUGUAAAGCACUUUCAGCGGGGAGGAAGGCGUUAAGGUUAUUAACCUUGUCGAUUGACGUUACCCGCAGAAGAAGCACCGGCUAACUCCGUGCCAGCAGCCGCGGUAAUACGGGGGGUGUAAGCGUUAAUCGGAAUUACUGGGCGUAAAGCGCACGCAGGCGGUCUGUCAAGUCGGAUGUGAAAUCCCCGGGCUCAACCUGGGAACUGCAUUCGAAACUGGCAGGCUAGAGUCUUGUAGGGGGGGGUAGAAUUCCAGGUGUAGCGGUGAAAUGCGUAGAGAUCUGGAGGAAUACCGGUGGCGAAGGCGGCCCCCUGGACAAAGACUGACGCUCAGGUGCGAAAGCGUGGGGAGCAAACAGGAUUAGAUACCCGGGUAGUC
This 465-nucleotide ribosomal RNA is filed under the name uncultured Klebsiella sp. RNAcentral's name for it is "bacterial SSU rRNA". It matches the Rfam family "Bacterial small subunit ribosomal RNA", at positions 338 to 795 of the family's 1533-position model. Lineage: Bacteria; Pseudomonadati; Pseudomonadota; Gammaproteobacteria; Enterobacterales; Enterobacteriaceae. The record is from RNAcentral.